This is a small nuclear RNA of Marchantia polymorpha subsp. polymorpha, 146 nucleotides long. It matches the Rfam family "U4 spliceosomal RNA". Rfam says of the family: U4 small nuclear RNA (U4 snRNA) is a component of the major U2-dependent spliceosome. The structure of U4 snRNA from yeast and human has been reported. The record is from Rfam. Lineage: Eukaryota; Viridiplantae; Streptophyta; Marchantiopsida; Marchantiales; Marchantiaceae.
AUCUUUGCGCUUGGGGCAAUGACGCAGUAAGUGAGGUGAAACCGAGACGCGUCAAUUGCUGGUUGAAACUAUUUCUAUAUAUAUAUAUAUAUAUAUAUAACACAAGUUACAAAUGUGUGGCAAGUUUUGACAUCCCACAAGAUGUG